GCCGGUGUGACGGAAUAGGUAGACGUACCACCUCAGUGGUCCCCGAAAGGGGUGCGGGUUCGAUCCCCAGCCACCGGCA
This 79-nucleotide transfer RNA is filed under the name Sphingomonas sanguinis. RNAcentral's name for it is "tRNA-OTHER". RNAcentral also lists the same sequence under 3 other names. Lineage: Bacteria; Pseudomonadati; Pseudomonadota; Alphaproteobacteria; Sphingomonadales; Sphingomonadaceae. The record is from RNAcentral.